UCCCCUGUAGUUCAAUGGUAGAACACCUCGCUGUUAACGAGGACGUUGUAGGUUCGAGUCCUACCGGGGGAGCCA
This 75-nucleotide transfer RNA is filed under the name Candidatus Magasanikiibacteriota bacterium. RNAcentral's name for it is "Candidatus Magasanikbacteria bacterium tRNA-Asn". It matches the Rfam family "tRNA". Rfam says of the family: Transfer RNA (tRNA) molecules are approximately 80 nucleotides in length. Their secondary structure includes four short double-helical elements and three loops (D, anti-codon, and T loops). Further hydrogen bonds mediate the characteristic L-shaped molecular structure. tRNAs have two regions of fundamental functional importance: the anti-codon, which is responsible for specific mRNA codon recognition, and the 3' end, to which the tRNAs corresponding amino acid is attached (by aminoacyl-tRNA synthetases). tRNAs cope with the degeneracy of the genetic code in two manners: having more than one tRNA (with a specific anti-codon) for a particular amino acid; and 'wobble' base-pairing, i.e. permitting non-standard base-pairing at the 3rd anti-codon position. Lineage: Bacteria; Candidatus Magasanikiibacteriota. The record is from RNAcentral.